RNAcentral lists this ribosomal RNA (425 nucleotides) under uncultured bacterium. Its description in RNAcentral is "partial 16S ribosomal RNA". It matches the Rfam family "Bacterial small subunit ribosomal RNA", at positions 354 to 796 of the family's 1533-position model. The record is from RNAcentral.
GUGGGGAAUAUUGGACAAUGGGCGCAAGCCUGAUCCAGCCAUGCCGCGUGAGUGAUGAAGGCCCUAGGGUUGUAAAGCUCUUUCAGUGGGGACGAUAAUGACGGUACCCACAGAAGAAGCCCCGGCUAACUUCGUGCCAGCAGCCGCGGUAAUACGAAGGGGGCUAGCGUUGUUCGGAUUUACUGGGCGUAAAGCGCACGUAGGCGGAUCGUUAAGUCGAGGGUGAAAUCCUGGAGCUCAAGUCCAGAACUGCCUUCGGUACUGGGGAUCUUGAGUCCGGAAGAGGUGAGUGGAACUCCUAGUGUAGAGGUGGAAUUCGUAGAUAUUAGGAAGAACACCAGUGGCGAAGGCGGCUCACUGGUCCGGUACUGACGCUGAGGUGCGAAAGCGUGGGGAGCAAACAGGAUUAGAAACCCUGGUAGUCC